RNAcentral lists this transfer RNA (93 nucleotides) under Laccaria bicolor S238N-H82. It matches the Rfam family "tRNA". From Rfam's summary of the family: Transfer RNA (tRNA) molecules are approximately 80 nucleotides in length. Their secondary structure includes four short double-helical elements and three loops (D, anti-codon, and T loops). Further hydrogen bonds mediate the characteristic L-shaped molecular structure. tRNAs have two regions of fundamental functional importance: the anti-codon, which is responsible for specific mRNA codon recognition, and the 3' end, to which the tRNAs corresponding amino acid is attached (by aminoacyl-tRNA synthetases). tRNAs cope with the degeneracy of the genetic code in two manners: having more than one tRNA (with a specific anti-codon) for a particular amino acid; and 'wobble' base-pairing, i.e. permitting non-standard base-pairing at the 3rd anti-codon position. The record is from Rfam by way of RNAcentral. Lineage: Eukaryota; Fungi; Basidiomycota; Agaricomycetes; Agaricales; Hydnangiaceae.
GGGCACUUAGCACAGGGUAGUGCACACACUUUGCAUUGUUCAAACAUUGAUAAUUCUUGUGUGAGGUCGUGGGUUCAAAUCCCACAGUGUCCA